Molecule: ribosomal RNA, 160 nt
Filed under: Caryophanales bacterium S1B225
Lineage: Bacteria; Bacillati; Bacillota; Bacilli; Caryophanales
Also listed under: 1 other name
Description: partial 16S rRNA
Rfam family: Bacterial small subunit ribosomal RNA
Source: RNAcentral
UAGGGAAUCUUCCGCAAUGGGCGAAAGCCUGACGGAGCAACGCCGCGUGAGUGAUGAAGGUUUUCGGAUCGUAAAGCUCUGUUGCCAAGGAAGAACGUCUUCUAGAGUAACUGCUAGGAGAGUGACGGUACUUGAGAAGAAAGCCCCGGCUAACUACGUG